AUUGAACGCUGGCGGAAUGCUUUACACAUGCAAGUCGAGCGGCAGCACGGGGGUAACCCUGGUGGCGAGCGGCGAACGGGUGAGUAAUACAUCGGAACAUGCCCAGUCGUGGGGGAUAACACUUCGAAAGAAGUGCUAAUACCGCAUACGUCCUGAGGGAGAAAGCGGGGGAUCGCAAGACCUCGCGCGAUUGGAGUGGCCGAUGUCAGAUUAGCUAGUUGGUGGGGUAAAGGCCUACCAAGGCAACGAUCUGUAGCUGGUCUGAGAGGAUGAUCAGCCACACUGGGACUGAGACACGGCCCAGACUCCUACGGGAGGCAGCAGUGGGGAAUUUUGGACAAUGGGGGCAACCCUGAUCCAGCCAUUCCGCGUGAGUGAAGAAGGCCUUCGGGUUGUAAAGCUCUUUCGGCAGGAACGAAACGGUGAGCUCUAACAUAGCUUGCUAAUGACGGUACCUGAAGAAGAAGCACCGGCUAACUAAGUG
This 484-nucleotide ribosomal RNA is filed under the name uncultured bacterium. RNAcentral describes it as "partial 16S ribosomal RNA". It matches the Rfam family "Bacterial small subunit ribosomal RNA", at positions 30 to 507 of the family's 1533-position model. The record is from RNAcentral.